This 391-nucleotide unclassified non-coding RNA is filed under the name soil metagenome. Its description in RNAcentral is "partial contains 5.8S ribosomal RNA, internal transcribed spacer 2, and large subunit ribosomal RNA". The stretch from base 1 to 122 matches the Rfam family "5.8S ribosomal RNA", at positions 35 to 154 of the family's 154-position model. The record is from RNAcentral.
GAUGAAGAACGUAGCGAAAUGCGAUACUUGGUGUGAAUUGCAGAAUCCCGUGAACCAUCGAGUCUUUGAACGCAAGUUGCGCCCGAAGCCAUUAGGCCGAGGGCACGCCUGCCUGGGCGUCACACGUCGUUGCCCCCCCAUCUACUCCUUCGGGAUUGCGGGGGGCGGAUGAUGGCCUCCCGUGCGCCUCGCCGCGCGGUUGGCAUAAAUGCCAAGUCCUCGGCGACGCACGCCACGACAAUCGGUGGUUGCGAAACCUCGGUUGCCUGUCGUGUGCGGUCGUCGCGCAUCGAGGGCUCGAAAAAAUUGCCGGGCUUCGGCUCGACUUUCAACGCGACCCCAGGUCAGGCGGGGUUACCCGCUGAAUUUAAGCAUAUCAAUAAGCGGAGGA